AGAAACAGCCACACACUAUCUGUGGAUUCUAUUUUUCUACGAUGCUUGCUUUCUUUACCGAGGUCUUUGGCAUGUCCACGUUUUGGCUGACAUAGCGAAACCCCGUCUCUACUAAAAAUACAAACUAUUAGCUUGGGGUGGUGCUGCAUGCCUGUGAAUCCACCCACCUCGGCCUCCCAAAGUGCUGGGAUUACAGACGUGAGCCACUGUGCCUGGCUGAAGCUCAGUUUUAUCAUUGGUAAAACAUGGGAGUCUGACGUUUUGCUCUGUUCAUCUCAUGGUUAUUGUGCAGACUACAGGGAUGAUAAACGUGAGGGUGCCUUGUAAAUGGUGCACUGCUGUAUCUGCAUGACAGCUAUUGUCAGACCUGGAAUAAAGCCUGCAGGGCACAAGGCUGGACUAUGUGGUCAAGUCGAUGCAUUUGUUCAGGCCAUGUGGCCUCUUUGUGCUAUAGUUUCUUCGAUUGUAAUACGGGAAUAAUAACCCCCAACUUUUCCCUGCCACCCAGGAUGUGCUUGGAUUGCUUGCAUGAAAGAGCCCCAAGGCCUCUGGAAAUGCAAGGAUAGAAACCCAGGGCCAUAUGAAUCACACUCAUUUUGGUUACUUUUACACUCUUGACUCUAAGGUUUCAUUCUUGGAUGCCUCCCUGACCUAAUCAUGCUUACAACUGUCUUUCCUCUUAUACUACCAGCCCACAUAUGCUUGGAAAAAGCAAGAUUAUGG
Molecule: long non-coding RNA, 723 nt
Filed under: Homo sapiens (human)
Lineage: Eukaryota; Metazoa; Chordata; Mammalia; Primates; Hominidae
Description: non-protein coding lnc-TRMT61B-7:4
Source: RNAcentral